AUUCCCACCAAAACAAUAACUCUAGCUUCCGAUCAAGGGGAAUAAUAUCAAGCGUGCAACUGAAGUGACUGAUGCAGCCUACUUCUUAAGGGCUAUGUCCAAGUCACGUACGUACAUUUGAAACGAAAUCACGCUGCAUCCAUNACGAAAUCACGCUGCAUCCAUCUAUCAAAGCCAAAACCAGCACCCUUUUCUUCAAUCUUUCUCCUUCCAGAAAGCAAUCAUUUUGGCAAUGACGAUGAGCGGUGCUCCAGAAAUUUCCAAG
RNAcentral lists this unclassified non-coding RNA (265 nucleotides) under Hevea brasiliensis (rubber tree). Lineage: Eukaryota; Viridiplantae; Streptophyta; Magnoliopsida; Malpighiales; Euphorbiaceae. The record is from RNAcentral.